Molecule: long non-coding RNA, 736 nt
Filed under: Numida meleagris (helmeted guineafowl)
Lineage: Eukaryota; Metazoa; Chordata; Aves; Galliformes; Numididae
Description: lncRNA (ENSNMEG00000007445.1)
Source: RNAcentral
CACCGAUGAAGGAUUUGAACUUCUGAAAUCUGCAUUCCACUUCCUGAGCUACGUACUAGCUGUUUGUGUUGUCCAGGGAAUCCACUGAGUUUUCUGUUGCUGCUUCUCAGUUAAUCCCUGUGCCAGGAAAGGGAUGGAAUCCAAACCCAAGAGAACUAGCUGAAAAAGGUCAAGGUAACUUUAUUGCUGUUGGCUGGGCAGCACCUGGGGGUACUAUGAUGCAGAGAACAUCACAUCCAGAACAUCCUAACUCAGCAGUUACAGAGCACUGUGGAGAUAUGGAUCAAUCUGCCUGGACAGAAGGCCAAACCGAUGCUUGGUGUUUCAGAAGCAAAUGCUGCUGGAAGUCCCUGUUUUAUUGACCAUUGAAAUAGUCAUCAAAUGUGGAAUGUGGGAAGGAAUGUUGCAUCAGAGAAAUCUGAUGACUACAUACUCUGCAUAGACACAUGCUAUGCUGUUAAAUGGACACAGUGGAAGCAGGUGGAAAUUCUGGAGGGAAGUAAUUCUGAUAGGACUUCCAGCAGACAUGUAUGCACUCUUGUCUGGGCUUCAGCGUCCUGAAAGGAAAUCAAUACCUUUCUGCCCUACUAACAGUUUAUAAUGGCUAUCAGUUUGCCAUCCACAAUCUGUAAAACUUAUUUUGUAAAGGAAGAAAAAAUGCAGUUCUGGAAACCAUAUAUAUAUCAUACAUUUACUUCUGUAUAUAUGGACAUGUAGUAGUAUUACUGUAGCUUGC